AGGGGGAUAACUACUGGAAACGGUAGCUAAUACCGCAUAACGUCGCAAGACCAAAGAGGGGGACCUUCGGGCCUCUUGCCAUCGGAUGUGCCCAGAUGGGAUUAGCUAGUAGGUGGGGUAACGGCUCACCUAGGCGACGAUCCCUAGCUGGUCUGAGAGGAUGACCAGCCACACUGGAACUGAGACACGGUCCAGACUCCUACGGGAGGCAGCAGUGGGGAAUAUUGCACAAUGGGCGCAAGCCUGAUGCAGCCAUGCCGCGUGUAUGAAGAAGGCCUUCGGGUUGUAAAGUACUUUCAGCGGGGAGGAAGGGAGUAAAGUUAAUACCUUUGCUCAUUGACGUUACCCGCAGAAGAAGCACCGGCUAACUCCGUGCCAGCAGCCGCGGUAAUACGGAGGGUGCAAGCGUUAAUCGGAAUUACUGGGCGUAAAGCGCACGCAGGCGGUUUGUUAAGUCAGAUG
Molecule: ribosomal RNA, 462 nt
Filed under: Shigella sonnei
Lineage: Bacteria; Pseudomonadati; Pseudomonadota; Gammaproteobacteria; Enterobacterales; Enterobacteriaceae
Description: bacterial SSU rRNA
Rfam family: Bacterial small subunit ribosomal RNA
Source: RNAcentral